GGAGAGAUGGCAGAGUGGUUUAUCGCGACGGUCUUGAAAACCGUUGAAGAAUACAUUUUCUUCCGGGGGUUCAAAUCCCUCUCUCUCCG
This 89-nucleotide transfer RNA is filed under the name Candidatus Shikimatogenerans bostrichidophilus. Its description in RNAcentral is "tRNA-Ser". It matches the Rfam family "tRNA". From Rfam's summary of the family: Transfer RNA (tRNA) molecules are approximately 80 nucleotides in length. Their secondary structure includes four short double-helical elements and three loops (D, anti-codon, and T loops). Lineage: Bacteria; Pseudomonadati; Bacteroidota; Flavobacteriia; Flavobacteriales. The record is from RNAcentral.